Molecule: ribosomal RNA, 326 nt
Filed under: uncultured eukaryote
Lineage: Eukaryota
Description: partial 18S ribosomal RNA
Rfam family: Eukaryotic small subunit ribosomal RNA
Source: RNAcentral
CCCUUAGAUGUUCUGGGCCGCACGCGCGCUACACUGAUGCAUUCAACAAGCCUAGCCUUGUCCGAGAGGUCCGGGUAAUCUUUGAAACUGCAUCGUGAUGGGGCUAGAUUAUUGCAAUUAUUAAUCUUCAACGAGGAAUGCCUAGUAAGCGUGAUUCAUCAAAUCGCGUUGAUUACGUCCCUGCCCUUUGUACACACCGCCCGUCGCUCCUACCGAUUGAAUGUGUUGGUGAGGAGCUCGGAUUGGCAGCAGUUGGUGGUUCGCCACCGGCUAUUGCUGAGAAGUCCUCCAAACCGCCCCAUUUAGAGGAAGGAGAAGUCGUAACA